GAUGAACUCUGGCGGCGUGCUUAACACAUGCAAGUCGAACGGAAAGGCCUCUGCUUGCAGGGGUACUCGAGUGGCGAACGGGUGAGUAACACGUGGGUGAUCUGCCUUGUACUUCGGGAUAAGCCUGGGAAACUGGGUCUAAUACCGGAUAGGACCAAUCUUUAGUGUGGUUGGUGGAAAGUUUUUUCGGUACGAGAUGAGCCCGCGGCCUAUCAGCUUGUUGGUGGGGUAAUGGCCUACCAAGGCGACGACGGGUAGCCGGCCUGAGAGGGUGUACGGCCACAUUGGGACUGAGACACGGCCCAGACUCCUACGGGAGGCAGCAGUGGGGAAUAUUGCACAAUGGGCGGAAGCCUGAUGCAGCGACGCCGCGUGAGGGAUGACGGCCUUCGGGUUGUAAACCUCUUUCGCUAGGGAAGAAGCCUUUUUGGUGACGGUACCUGGAUAAGAAGCACCGGCUAACUACGUGCCAGCAGCCGCGGUAAUACGUAGGGUGCAAGCGUUGUCCGGAAUUACUGGGCGUAAAGAGCUCGUAGGUGGUUCGUCGCGUCGUUAGUGAAAGCCCGGGGCUUAACUCCGGGUCUGCUGGCGAUACGGGCAUAACUUGAGUGCUGUAGGGGAGACUGGAAUUCCUGGUGUAGCGGUGGAAUGCGCAGAUAUCAGGAGGAACACCGAUGGCGAAGGCAGGUCUCUGGGCAGUAACUGACGCUGAGGAGCGAAAGCAUGGGUAGCGAACAGGAUUAGAUACCCUGGUAGUCCAUGCCGUAAACGGUGGGCGCUAGGUGUGGGGGUUUUUCACGACUUCCGUGCCGUAGCUAACGCAUUAAGCGCCCCGCCUGGGGAGUACGGCCGCAAGGCUAAAACUCAAAGGAAUUGACGGGGGCCCGCACAAGCGGCGGAGCAUGUGGAUUAAUUCGAUGCAACGCGAAGAACCUUACCUGGGCUUGACAUAUACGGGAUCGGCGUAGAGAUACGUUUUCCCUUGUGGCUCGUAUACAGGUGGUGCAUGGUUGUCGUCAGCUCGUGUCGUGAGAUGUUGGGUUAAGUCCCGCAACGAGCGCAACCCUUGUCCUGUGUUGCCAGCACGUUAUGGUGGGGACUCGCGAGAGACUGCCGGGGUUAACUCGGAGGAAGGUGGGGAUGACGUCAAAUCAUCAUGCCCCUUAUGUCCAGGGCUUCACACAUGCUACAAUGGUCGGUACAGUGGGUUGCGAUGCCGUGAGGUGGAGCUAAUCCCUUAAAGCCGGUCUCAGUUCGGAUUGGAGUCUGCAACUCGACUCCAUGAAGUCGGAGUCGCUAGUAAUCGCAGAUCAGCAACGCUGCGGUGAAUACGUUCCCGGGCCU
This 1344-nucleotide ribosomal RNA is filed under the name uncultured bacterium. RNAcentral's name for it is "bacterial SSU rRNA". It matches the Rfam family "Bacterial small subunit ribosomal RNA", at positions 28 to 1381 of the family's 1533-position model. The record is from RNAcentral.